RNAcentral lists this ribosomal RNA (601 nucleotides) under uncultured Sporobolomyces. RNAcentral's name for it is "eukaryotic LSU rRNA". The stretch from base 199 to 352 matches the Rfam family "5.8S ribosomal RNA". Lineage: Eukaryota; Fungi; Basidiomycota. The record is from RNAcentral.
AAGUCGCAACAAGGUUUCCGUAGGUGAACCUGCGGAAGGAUCAUUAGUGAAUAAAUAGGGUGUCCAAUUUAACUUGGAACCCGACCUUCUCACAUCUAACCCUGUGCAUCUGUAUUUAAUGGCGAGCAAUUUUCGAAUUGUGAGCCAUUUCACUUUAUAAACACUAGUCUAUGAAUGUAAAAUUUUUAUAACAAUAAAAACUUUCAACAACGGAUCUCUUGGCUCUCGCAUCGAUGAAGAACGCAGCGAAAUGCGAUACGUAAUGUGAAUUGCAGAAUUCAGUGAAUCAUCGAAUCUUUGAACGCAUCUUGCGCUCUCUGGUAUUCCGGAGAGCAUGUCUGUUUGAGUGUCAUGAAUUCUUCAACCCAACUGUUUCUUGUAAACAGCUGGUGUUUGGAUUCUGAGCGCUGCUGGCUUCGUGCCUAGCUCGUUCGUAAUACAUCAGCAUCCCUAAUACAAGUUUGGAUUGACUUGGCGUAAUAGACUAUUCGCUAAGGAUUCAAUGUUCUGCAUUGAGCCAACUUAGUUAAGGAAGCUUCUAAUUGAAAAGUCUACCUUUAGAUUAGAUCUCAAAUCAGGCAGGAUUACCCGCUGAACUUAA